Molecule: ribosomal RNA, 397 nt
Filed under: uncultured bacterium
Lineage: Bacteria
Description: bacterial SSU rRNA
Rfam family: Bacterial small subunit ribosomal RNA
Source: RNAcentral
GAGCGCCGUAGCAAUACGGAGCGGCAGACGGGAGAGUAACACGUGGGAACGUGCCCUUCAGUUCGGAACAACCCAGGGAAACUUGGGCUAAUACCGGAUACGUCCGUAAGGAGAAAGAUUUAUCGCUGAAGGAUCGGCCCGCGUCUGAUUAGCUUGUUGGUGAGGUAACGGCUCACCAAGGCGACGAUCAGUAGCUGGUCUGAGAGGAUGAUCAGCCUCACUGGGACUGAGACACGGCCCAGACUCCUACGGGAGGCAGCAGUGGGGAAUAUUGGACAAUGGGCGCAAGCCUGAUCCAGCCAUGCCGCGUGGGUGAUGAAGGCCUUAGGGUUGUAAAGCCCUUUUGGCGGGGAAGAUAAUGACGGUACCCGCAGAAGAAGCCCCGGCUAACUUCGUG